AGAUCAAGGAAUUCAUUGCUUAUAUCAUCGUCUUUAUUUUUUUAAAAAAACCUUGCAACUUCGAACUAUAUAAUUCACAUCUAUCGGGUCCUGGUACUUCUGAACUCCCUCACCGUAGCCGACCCCCGCGAUUGUGAAAGACCGCCGCCCUGCUCGUCGUGUUCCGUCGUGGCCACCUUGGUUCGUCGGAGCUUUUCGUCGUGCCCAUCGGUUUGAUCAGUUUAGUUCUUCGAUCAGGAUCAGCCGCUACUCAGACCGUUGCAGCCGCACUCCGUCUUCGAUCGAGCCCCGUCGUCACGUUACUCCACCGUGUUCAGGCCAGAGCCGUUGCUACUGCUCGACUCGUUUCGUUUGAUCACCUGGAGCUCUAGUUUCUUUUUCUUUUUGUCUCCGGUUAGCUCCGUUUGCGUUUAAGGCGUUUGUGACUGUAGAGGAAAACUUGAUUAUUGGUUUUGCUUGUGUGCUAAUAAGUUAUGAUAUGUAAUUUGGGAAUCAUGGGGAAUAAGUGAAGAGUGUCGUGAAGAUAAAGAUUUUUUUUUUCGGUGAUGUAAUGAAAAUGUGUCACACCCCAACCGAUGGCGGAAUCAUCGGGGCGCGGCACUGAGCGAAACAGAUUGUCCAGAAGUUUCCACAACAACUAUUAUUACAAAUUCAGUUAAAUGAUACGUCCCAUACCGUAUCCCAAAUAAAUAAACAAGUUAUCAUAGAAAGCAACUAGGCAAAUAAAUUCCGUUCCGACAACUCAGAUUCAAUUAUUAUUACAGACAAUUGUUUAUUAUUUCUAGACUCCCUAGCCUCGAUUUCAUCACCAUGCGCCUAAGCAUCCUAGCAACUUAAGCACCUGUCACAUACGUUAAAAUAAAGUCAAUACAUAUGAUGUAAAGGUGAACACACAAAUUUAGUAAUAGCAUAUAGAGU
RNAcentral lists this long non-coding RNA (918 nucleotides) under Helianthus annuus (common sunflower). RNAcentral's name for it is "hypothetical non coding rna". The record is from RNAcentral. Lineage: Eukaryota; Viridiplantae; Streptophyta; Magnoliopsida; Asterales; Asteraceae.